GACGAACGCUGGCGGCGUGCCUAAUACAUGCAAGUAGAACGCUGAAGGAGGAGCUUGCUUCUCUGGAUGAGUUGCGAACGGGUGAGUAACGCGUAGGUAACCUGCCUGGUAGCGGGGGAUAACUAUUGGAAACGAUAGCUAAUACCGCAUAAUAGCAGUUGUUGCAUGACAACUGUUUGAAAGGUGCAAUUGCACCACUACCAGAUGGACCUGCGUUGUAUUAGCUAGUUGGUGGGGUAACGGCUCACCAAGGCGACGAUACAUGGCCGACCUGAGAGGGUGAUCGGCCACACUGGGACUGAGACACGGCCCAGACUCCUACGGGAGGCAGCAGUAGGGAAUCUUCGGCAAUGGACGGAAGUCUGACCGAGCAACGCCGCGUGAGUGAAGAAGGUUUUCGGAUCGUAAAGCUCUGUUGUAAGAGAAGAACGAGUGUGAGAGUGGAAAGUUCACACUGUGACGGUAUCUUACCAGAAAGGGACGGCUAACUACGUG
This 495-nucleotide ribosomal RNA is filed under the name uncultured bacterium. Its description in RNAcentral is "partial 16S ribosomal RNA". It matches the Rfam family "Bacterial small subunit ribosomal RNA", at positions 28 to 507 of the family's 1533-position model. The record is from RNAcentral.